GUAGAGGCGGGACCUGGUGCUGUGGAAAGAGAGAACUCUUGCUCAUUCUUUCUAGUCAAGACCCAAGUGGACUCUUUGCUGGCUUUGAAAGGAAAGGCAUUUCUGGUUUGUACUUGGCAGGACUCUGAGAGCCCUAGCGCUGUGUAGUUGUUCUCCAGCACAAUCUCCGUGAAGACGCAGUCCUUGCCUUUGCCGUUGCUCUGCAGGUAGGGGAGCCAGACACCACGUUACAGAGCCCCCCCAGCAGAGGCAGAGGGCGAGCGGCCCCAGACAGCAGAUGUAGAGGCCCGUCUCGGCUCCUCGGACUCGAACUCUGCUUCCAAAGGUGUCCGUCUCCACGAUGAGCUUUGCUGUCAG
This is a long non-coding RNA of Homo sapiens (human), 357 nucleotides long. RefSeq lists it as uncharacterized. NCBI's taxonomy places the organism in Eukaryota, Metazoa, Chordata, Mammalia, Primates, Hominidae. The transcript has 3 exons. The record is from RefSeq and is a predicted model, not a curated record.